RNAcentral lists this unclassified non-coding RNA (510 nucleotides) under Hevea brasiliensis (rubber tree). The record is from RNAcentral. Lineage: Eukaryota; Viridiplantae; Streptophyta; Magnoliopsida; Malpighiales; Euphorbiaceae.
GGGUGUGCCCUUCAAAGGAAGGGGUUCUUCGAGGAAAGUCUCGAAAACAAGGCACUAAGGCUUACCGCGCUAGACUGAACAUGAGGUGGCGGGCGGAGCUAAUAAUUUUUCUAUUGAAGCGGAACACGAAUCUAUUUUGCAUCAGAAUCCCCCGGUUAGUCAUGAAAAGACGAUCGUCAGUUUAGAUUAACCUGCGGUGCGGAUCUCUUCAGCAUGGAUGGAUAGAUGCCAUACGGCCGCCAUUAAUAACCGGCCUUGAAAAUGACAACGAGGCGAAGCAGGAUUAGAGCUAGCCAGCAGCUGCUACCUUACAGAUAAGGAGCCCACGAUUCCUCUACUGGCAGACAAGCUUCUAAGUCUUUAGCCAACGGAUACGAAUUCGAAAGAAAGGUCAAUCUCCGAAGGGCCUUCGGAGAGCUGAGCUUGAGUUUAGGGGGGAAUACCGCUUUUGGUCUUGGCAAAAGUAAUUCCACAUUUUCAGGCUUUGGCUUAGGCUAGGCUUGAUUUACC